CAGCAGCCACGGGAAUACGUAGGUGGCAAGCGUUGUCCGGAAUUAUUGGGCGUAAAGCGCGCGCAGGCGGAUCAGCCAGUCUGUCUUAAAAGUUCGGGGCUUAACCCCGUGAGGGGAUGGAAACUGCUGAUCUAGAGUAUCGGAGAGGAAAGUGGAAUUCCUAGUGUAGCGGUGAAAUGCGUAGAUAUUAGGAAGAACACCAGUGGCGAAGGCGACUUUCUGGACGAAAUCUGACGCUGAGGCGCGAAAGCCAGGGGAGCGAACGGGAUUAGAGACCCCUGUAGUCCCUGUCUCUUAUACA
Molecule: ribosomal RNA, 301 nt
Filed under: uncultured bacterium
Lineage: Bacteria
Description: partial 16S ribosomal RNA
Rfam family: Bacterial small subunit ribosomal RNA
Source: RNAcentral